This 205-nucleotide unclassified non-coding RNA is filed under the name Hevea brasiliensis (rubber tree). Lineage: Eukaryota; Viridiplantae; Streptophyta; Magnoliopsida; Malpighiales; Euphorbiaceae. The record is from RNAcentral.
CGUGCAAUGUGGAAUCUCGCUCGCGCGUCGUCGAAACACGCCGGCGCGGCGGCGAAUCUGCGCCAGGUACGGCGGUUCUCCGCCGCCAUUGCGGGGCCCGGGCCUUGCAUCGUCCAUAAGCGGGGGACCGAUAUCCUCCACGAUCCCUGGUUCAACAAGGAUACUGCUUUCCCCUUGACAGAAAGAGAUCGGCUUGGACUUCGCG